UCUUUGUUUGAGCUCACUUGCAUCUACUCGGCCCUCAUUCUACAGUGCAGUGUGGUGACCAUCACAUAAGACCGUCGCCCUCAUUAAAGCAGCUAGUGUAAAUGGUGAAACUUUUGGGCCUGACCUGUUUGCAAGGGCCUGGCCAGUGUCAACAUCGGGAGCCUUUUUGGUAGCAUGGGGGCUGGUGGACCUGUACCUACAGGCAGUUCUGCCCCUGUACCAUUUCCCCAGCCAGAGUCAACAUUGGGAACCUCCUCUGCAGCAGCAUGGGGGCUGCUGGACCUGUACCUGUAGGCAGUCCUGCCCCUCCACUGCUGCCCCAGCUGAGCAGAAGGAAGUGCAAGCAAGGAAAGAAGCAUCUGAGGGAUCUACUUAGGACACGGGCUUUAAUCUUUUUGAA
This 400-nucleotide long non-coding RNA is filed under the name Homo sapiens (human). RNAcentral's name for it is "non-protein coding lnc-VCX3A-4:1". The record is from RNAcentral. Lineage: Eukaryota; Metazoa; Chordata; Mammalia; Primates; Hominidae.